GGUGACGUCGCGAAGGGAGGCUGCGGGAGCGCGCGAGGUAGGGAGGCGGGCAGACAACGGAGACGAGAGGGGGUAGCACUUGCAUCCAUGCCCAGGAGGAGGAGGUGGCGGCCAGCAUAUGCCCGGUGAGAGGAAUCCCACGCCCCCAGACCCCGACCAGCAAGUCAUGACUGAACCAGGACGGGCUCGCAUAUUACUGGACUGGAGAGUGGACUUUGGAUGUAGGCACCACAGCUGAGGACUGGAUUGGACAUGUUCAACAGACAUUACAGAUGAGAAAGAACUUUGUCAAUGAUCUCCAGGAAAGAAAGACUGGAACAUUGGAAUUA
Nanorana parkeri is the source of this 329-nucleotide long non-coding RNA. RefSeq lists it as uncharacterized. The record is from RefSeq and is a predicted model, not a curated record. Lineage: Eukaryota; Metazoa; Chordata; Amphibia; Anura; Dicroglossidae. The transcript is spliced from 2 exons.